CGGCAUGCCUAACACAUGCAAGUCGAACGAAGCCUUCGGGCUUAGUGGCGCACGGGUGCGUAACACGUGGGAAUCUGCCCUUGGUUCGGAAUAACAGUUGAAAUGACUGCUAAUACCGGAUAAUGACGUAAGUCCAAAGAUUUAUCGCCGAAGGAUGAGCCCGCGUAGGAUUAGGUAGUUGGUGGGGUAAUGGCCCACCAAGCCGACGAUCCUUAGCUGGUCUGAGAGGAUGAUCAGCCACACUGGGACUGAGACACGGCCCAGACUCCUACGGGAGGCAGCAGUGGGGAAUAUUGGACAAUGGGCGAAAGCCUGAUCCAGCAAUGCCGCGUGAGUGAUGAAGGCCUUAGGGUUGUAAAGCUCUUUUACCAGGGAUGAUAAUGACAGUACCUGGAGAAUAAGCUCCGGCUAACUCCGUG
This 419-nucleotide ribosomal RNA is filed under the name uncultured bacterium. RNAcentral describes it as "bacterial SSU rRNA". It matches the Rfam family "Bacterial small subunit ribosomal RNA", at positions 40 to 507 of the family's 1533-position model. The record is from RNAcentral.